GAGAGGAGAAAAUUGUUGAUUAAACCUUCCUGAUUCUCCCAAUCUCAUCAAUGAGAGGAAGGGGGAUGUGAGAAUCCAGGAGUGUGUCUCUAGGAAAAUGAUCCACGUGGAAACCCUUUAUUCAGCCUAGUUUCACUUCCACAGCUGCCUGAGCAAUCCUGUUAAACACAAGUCAGGUGGAGUCAAUCCUCUGCUCAAAAGCCCCUAGUGGCAUAUCACUUCAUUUAGGGCAAAAAGCAAAGCUUUGAGAAUGGCCUAUCCACAUGGCUCACCCCCUCACCUCCUCCCAGCCUUGUUCAAAUCUUUGCUUCCUUGAUCACUCUGCUAAAAACAGACACUCCUCUUAUCCACUUCCUGUCCUACUCUUUUUUCCCCAACCAAUUUCCUUUUAACGUAGUAUGUAGUUGACUUUGUUGCCCUUCUUGCUCUCUCUUUCCCCUAUUAGAAUAAAUUAUGGAAAGGCGAGGAUUUUCAUCUAUACUCUUUACUGUGGCUUCCCAGAUGACUCAGUGGUAAAGAAUC
This is a long non-coding RNA of Bubalus bubalis (water buffalo), 522 nucleotides long. RefSeq lists it as uncharacterized. The record is from RefSeq and is a predicted model, not a curated record. The transcript has 2 exons. NCBI's taxonomy places the organism in Eukaryota, Metazoa, Chordata, Mammalia, Artiodactyla, Bovidae.